UUGCGAAGCGAACGAAAAACAACAACAGCGAAUUCCACCCCUCGUGCUGUUUCGUCGCUCCCUCGCUCCCUCCCUCUUCUCUGCAUGAGACGCUGACGUGCAGGGCCUGCAACGUUCGCGCCAUCAGCCUUGCACAGAGAGGCAUACACUCACAUGGAUACGAUAGGGUUUGUAAACGGGCAACCGAAGCAAACAACAACAUAAGUAGUCGGUCUCGAGAGAGAGAGAGAGCGCACAUACGCACACGCACACGAGCAUAUACGCAGAGAACCUGGCUUCAGCUUCUCUGCUUUCUCAUUUUCUGUUCUCUCUUCGUGAACAUUUUCGAGGUCGAAAACACAAGAUGUCUCAGCAGGAAGGCACUUCGCCAACGGAUCGCGAGAGCACCAUGCAGAUUCUGAACAUGUUCCCCGGACACCUCCACUUGCUGCCGCAGACGCCGCAGCUUCACUUCCUCUUCACUGUCAUCCGCGACGUGGAAACUCAGCGCACGGACUUCAUCUUUUACUCAGAGCGCAUCAUACGCCUCAUCCUUGAGGCGGCGCUGUGCUUGAUCCCUGUGAAGCCGUUUAAUGUCAUCACACCAGUAGGUGCUGUGUACAGGGGCGUUCGGCCGGACGACCGCGGCAUCAUCGGCGUUUCCAUCAUGCGAGCUGGCGAGUCGAUGGAGCGCGUGCUGCGUGAGAUGUGCCCCGGUGUCCGCAUCGGCAAGAUCCUCGUCCAACGCGACGAGACGAGCACCGACAAGACUCCCGAUGCACGCUUCACCUAUAGCAAGUUGCCCACAGACGUAGCCUCGCGCCGCGUGCUGCUGCUGGACCCGAUGUGCGCGACCGGCGGCAGCGUCAUCAAGGCGACGGAGAUCCUGAUCAACGAGUACGGCGUGCUCGAGGAAAACAUCAUCUUCUUGAAUCUCAUCUCCGCCCCCGCAGGAAUCAGGAAAUAUCUCGCUCGGUUCCCCAAAAUCCAGAUUGUGACCGCCGCCAUCGACGACGACUUGGACGAGAACAGGUACAUCCUGCCCGGCCUCGGUGACUUUGGCGACCGCUAUUUCGGCACGAUAUCGGAGUGAACGCAAACAAACCGUUGCGCUCACAAGGGAAAAAUAGAAGAAAACGUGGAUGCCCAAUGAGGACGGCAGGAUGUGGGGAAAGGCGAGGCAUACACGGAGGAGGGGGAGGUGUCGCGUCACAGCGGUGGUGCCGCUCGUCGCCCCUCCCCCUUUUUUCAUUCUCUUCAGUCGUUUCUUCGCUCUCCUUCGCUCGUGCAGCGGUCGGAGCUCUCCCCCCAUUUCCGCUGCGCAUGACUUGCUAUAUACAAGCAGAGCAUAUACAAUGUCGACAGGUGUGUUGCCGUUUUCUCAUUUUCCCUCGACCAUCGUGUACGACAGCUCCCCUCUUCCCCGAAUCCUGGUGUCUGUUGUGAUAGCAGCCGCGGCUACAAGGCCGGCAUCUCCACUAACAGCAUCAUCUCUAAUGUCGACGGAAAAGAAAACGAGAAACAGGAAUAAGGUAAUUCACGCAUACCCGCACAGAGAGAGAGAGAAGAGCGGACGAGGGUUUCGCCAUGGCUUUGUUUCACAUUCACCAUGUUUUUUUUUUUUUCACUUCUUCGCCCCUAAUAAUAGAGCUGCGUGCUCCAUCGCAAUCUUUGCAUUCCCAUGUGCAUGCACCCUGCUUAGAACCUGCCGUUACUGUGGUGACGAUGUCGACGUGCAUAUAUGUGCAUGUAAGCGUGUCUACAUGUGCGACUGAGCGUGUCUGUGUUCGCAGUGUGCGUGCUUGGUCUUCGAAUUUGAUCCGCCAAAGGACGGAGCGGGAUUGAUGUAGGCUGGGAAAAGGUGUAUCAGGAGCCGUGUGACGGCGUGAGCUGGCGUAUUCUAGUGUCUUCGAGAGAGUCUCUCUCUGUCUGCACAACUCUGUGCUCCUGUGUGCCACUCCUUUGGCCACACUGCCCCAAACUCUUUUCCUCCCCCAUCACGCGUCUUCCUCCUGUCAUUCUCCUUGUCAUCGGGACUUACGAGGCCGUCGGAACUGCAUGCGCAUGCGAGCAGAGCAUAGUACGCACGCACGUGCCCACAAGCACUCGUACUAAAAUCUACUGAUAAACGUGGUCUUUCAGCGUCAGUACAGCAGCUCUUAAAUCGAAACAGAAUGAGUGUUCGCGCGGUCCGUUUCACGCUACACUGAUCACUCUUUUCUCCUGGGAGCGCGCAGCUAUGUAGGCCAUACUGCACCUCUUUGUUCUGUUCAAGAUUAUGAGGCACUCGGAGAAGAGUAGGAG
RNAcentral lists this unclassified non-coding RNA (2283 nucleotides) under Leishmania donovani. Its description in RNAcentral is "gene:LdHU3.34.1800(CDS-product:uracil_phosphoribo syltransferase_putative)". Lineage: Eukaryota; Euglenozoa; Kinetoplastea; Trypanosomatida; Trypanosomatidae. The record is from RNAcentral.